UGGGGAAUAUUGCACAAUGGGCGGAAGCCUGAUGCAGCGACGCCGCGUGAGGGAUGACGGCCUUCGGGUUGUAAACCUCUUUCAGCACCGACGAAGCGAGAGUGACGGUAGGUGCAGAAGAAGCGCCGGCCAACUACGUGCCAGCAGCCGCGGUAAGACGUAGGGCGCGAGCGUUGUCCGGAUUUAUUGGGCGUAAAGAGCUCGUAGGCGGCUUGUCGCGUCGACUGUGAAAACCCGCGGCUCAACUGCGGGCUUGCAGCCGAUACGGGCAGGCUAGAGUUCGGUAGGGGAGACUGGAAUUCCUGGUGUAGCGGUGAAAUGCGCAGAUAUCAGGAGGAACACCGGUGGCGAAGGCGGGUCUCUGGGCCGAUACUGACGCUGAGGAGCGAAAGCGUGGGGAGCGAACA
This 407-nucleotide ribosomal RNA is filed under the name uncultured Krasilnikovia sp. RNAcentral's name for it is "bacterial SSU rRNA". It matches the Rfam family "Bacterial small subunit ribosomal RNA", at positions 355 to 774 of the family's 1533-position model. Lineage: Bacteria; Bacillati; Actinomycetota; Actinomycetes; Micromonosporales; Micromonosporaceae. The record is from RNAcentral.